CCAAUAAAAAAGCCGGAAUAGCUCAGUUGGUAGAGCAGAGGACUGAAA
Molecule: transfer RNA, 48 nt
Filed under: Homalothecium nevadense
Lineage: Eukaryota; Viridiplantae; Streptophyta; Bryopsida; Hypnales; Brachytheciaceae
Description: partial tRNA-Phe
Source: RNAcentral